This 51-nucleotide ribosomal RNA is filed under the name Ctenophora environmental sample. Its description in RNAcentral is "partial Eukaryotic large subunit ribosomal RNA". The record is from RNAcentral. Lineage: Eukaryota; Metazoa; Ctenophora.
UGAGGGAAAGAUGAAAAGAACUUUGAAAAGAGAGUCAAAAAGUACCAUUAC